Molecule: ribosomal RNA, 472 nt
Filed under: uncultured bacterium
Lineage: Bacteria
Description: partial 16S ribosomal RNA
Rfam family: Bacterial small subunit ribosomal RNA
Source: RNAcentral
GACGAACGCUGGCGGCGUGCUUAACACAUGCAAGUCGAACGAUGAACCCGGAGCUUGCUCUGGGGGAUUAGUGGCGAACGGGUGAGUAACACGUGAGUAACCUGCCCUGGACUCUGGGAUAAGCGUUGGAAACGACGUCUAAUACCGGAUAGGACCUUGGAUCGCAUGAUCUGGGGUGGAAAGUUUUUUCGGUCUGGGAUGGACUCGCGGCCUACCAGCUUGUUGGUGAGGUAAUGGCUCAACAAGGCGUCGACGGGUAGCCGGCCUGAGAGGGUGAUCGGCCACGCUGGGACUGAGACAGGGCCCAGACUCCUGCGGGAGGCAGCAGUGGGGAAUAUUGCACAAGGAGCGAAAGCCUGAUGCAGCAACGCCGCGUGCGGGAUGACGGCCUUCGGGUUGUAAACCGCUUUUAGUAGGGAAGAAGAGCUUCGGCUUGACGGUACCUGCAGAAAAAGGACCGGCUAACUACGUG